RNAcentral lists this ribosomal RNA (422 nucleotides) under uncultured bacterium. RNAcentral describes it as "bacterial SSU rRNA". It matches the Rfam family "Bacterial small subunit ribosomal RNA", at positions 355 to 774 of the family's 1533-position model. The record is from RNAcentral.
UGAGGAAUAUUGGUCAAUGGACGAGAGUCUGAACCAGCCAAAUCGCGUGAAGGAAGACUGCCCUACGGGUUGUAAACUUCUUUUGUACAGGAAUAAAAGACAUUACGUGUAAUGUAUUGCAUGCACUGUACGAAUAAGCAUCGGCUAACUCCGUGCCAGCAGCCGCGGUAAUACGGAGGAUGCGAGCGUUAUCCGGAUUUAUUGGGUUUAAAGGGUGCGCAGGCGGGAUUUUAAGUCAGCGGUGAAAUUUUCAGGCUCAACCUGAACACUGCCGUUGAAACUGGGAUUCUUGAGUAUGGAUGAAGUAGGCGGAAUUCGUUGUGUAGCGGUGACAUGCUUAGAUAUAACGAGGAACUCCGAUUGCGUAGGCAGCUUACUAAGCCAUAACUGACGCUCAAGCACGAAAGCGUGGGGAUCAAACA